CGAAUGCUGACAUAAGUAACGAUAAAGCGGGUGAAAAGCCCGCUCGCCGGAAGACCAAGGGUUCCUGUCCAACGUUAAUCGGGGCAGGGUGAGUCGACCCCUAAGGCGAGGCCGAAAGGCGUAGUCGAUGGGAAACAGGUUAAUAUUCCUGUACUUGGUGUUACUGCGAAGGGGGGACGGAGAAGGCUAUGUUGGCCGGGCGACGGUUGUCCCGGUUUAAGCGUGUAGGCUGGUUUUCCAGGCAAAUCCGGAAAAUCAAGGCUGAGGCGUGAUGACGAGGCACUACGGUGCUGAAGCAACAAAUGCCCUGCUUCCAGGAAAAGCCUCUAAGCAUCAGGUAACAAC
This 345-nucleotide ribosomal RNA is filed under the name Escherichia coli. RNAcentral describes it as "partial 23S ribosomal RNA". It matches the Rfam family "Bacterial large subunit ribosomal RNA", at positions 1291 to 1638 of the family's 2925-position model. Lineage: Bacteria; Pseudomonadati; Pseudomonadota; Gammaproteobacteria; Enterobacterales; Enterobacteriaceae. The record is from RNAcentral.